Apodemus sylvaticus (European woodmouse) is the source of this 1508-nucleotide long non-coding RNA. RefSeq lists it as uncharacterized. The record is from RefSeq and is a predicted model, not a curated record. NCBI's taxonomy places the organism in Eukaryota, Metazoa, Chordata, Mammalia, Rodentia, Muridae. The transcript has 4 exons.
AGAAAAGGGCAUCAGAUCUCAUUACAGAUGGGUGUGAGCCACCAUGUGGUCUCUAGGAUUUGAACUCAGGACCUCUGGAAGAACAUUCAGUGCUCUUAACCACUAGGCCAUCUCGCCAGCCCACUAGCUUUUGUUUUACAGAAGAGAAAACCAAAGAGGAAAAAGGUAAGAGGCUUGCCUAAAGAAAGAGGAAGAAGCGAAGAAGUGGGAGGCCUCUGGGCCCUGAGCCUACACCCAAAGCCCUGGUAUUAUGCAGUUACUGUUGGAAGAAAAGCAGCCAGUGGUAAUCCGGCCGGCUGCCUGAAGAAGUUAGUUCUUGUGGCAUGUCCAGAAGCAACCUAUUUCUCUGCCUUUGCGGUUCUGAACCUGAGCAAGUCCAUUAGAAGCACCCAGGUAGUCUAUUCAAAAUGUUCCAGAAGGGUUGGUGAGGUUGGCUCCGAGGGUAAAAGCACUUGCUUCCAACCUGAGGAGCUGAGUUCAACUUCUGAGACCUGCAUGGGGAGGGAGAGAACAGACUUCCACACAUUGUCUUCGGACCUACAGUCAUACAGAUGCUCAAUACAAAGGAAACAGAGAACGAGUCACCAGCUGAGCUGCAGCAGAGAGAGUGUAGCUGACCGAGAAGAGGAGGCAGCUCCGCCAUCUCCUUUGUGUGCUCCUGAAUGCUGGACUCCUGUCUUACUCCAGCUCGUAAGCCUCUCCGCCUCCGAGCAGAGUUCCUGGCCAAUAGCAGCCUGCGAAGCUGCAUGAUUGGCGUUCUUCUGCAGAAGAAGCUGGGGAAGCAACACAGAUAAGACACCUUGAGUUGAACAUUCCCAAUCCAAAAAUCAGAAAUCUGAAAUGCUCUGAAAGCUGAAACCUUGUGAAUGCUGUUACAAUGUACAAGGAGAAAAAUUUUGCCUCUGACCUCAAAGACAUGUCACAGUGAAAACACAGGCUCACUACAAAUACCUACAAGCUGAGUUUGUAAGAAGCCUAUCAAACUUAAAUGAAUUUUAUACUUAGCUUUGGGUCUCAUCCAUAAGAUGUCUCAUUAUGUAUGCAAAAAUAUUCCCAAAUUCAAAAUACUUCUAGUCCAAAGCAUCUCAGAGAAGGGAUAUCCACACUGGGUUAAGUCUCUCUCACACACAAGAAGUGAGGCCAAAGGUUUCUAGCUGUCCUUGCGUAUUCUGUGACCAUUCUGUUUGAUGUGGUUAUUCUGGCUAAUGAUGAAAAUUCAGGCUCCCGCCUUGCUCUCUGUAGCAAAGCACAGACAUUUUUGUUGAAACUUCAGGCUGGUUGAGCCUGAUAUUCUUAUUCCCUCCUCCUCCCAAAAACUGGAGUUGGUUGAAAACUGUCAAUAAUUUCCUAAAAACUGGGUUUUUUCUUUCUUUUCUAUUUUUUUUCAAAACACCACUUGCUCAGUAGACAGCUCAUGAGGCCCACCAGACUAUGGACUUGGGGGUAUGGUACAUUUUGACCUCAAAGUCCUCAGCAUCUCUUACAAAAACUGAGUAAAGUCUCCAACU